RNAcentral lists this ribosomal RNA (253 nucleotides) under uncultured bacterium. Its description in RNAcentral is "partial 16S ribosomal RNA". It matches the Rfam family "Bacterial small subunit ribosomal RNA", at positions 524 to 776 of the family's 1533-position model. The record is from RNAcentral.
GACGUAGGGCGCGAGCGUUGUCCGGAUUUAUUGGGCGUAAAGAGCUCGUAGGCGGCUUGUCGCGUCGACUGUGAAAACUGGAGGCUCAACCUCCAGCCUGCAGUGGGUACGGGCAAACUAGAGUGCGGUAGGGGAGAUUGGAAUUCCUGGUGUAGCGGUGGAAUGCGCAGAUAUCAGGAGGAACACCGAUGGCGAAGGCAGAUCUCUGGGCCGUAACUGACGCUGAGGAGCGAAAGCAUGGGGAGCGAACAGG